RNAcentral lists this ribosomal RNA (253 nucleotides) under uncultured bacterium. RNAcentral's name for it is "partial 16S ribosomal RNA". It matches the Rfam family "Bacterial small subunit ribosomal RNA", at positions 524 to 776 of the family's 1533-position model. The record is from RNAcentral.
UACAGAGGGUGCGAGCGUUAAUCGGAAUUACUGGGCGUAAAGCGCGCGUAGGCGGCUUUGUAAGUCGGGUGUGAAAUCCCCAAGCUUAACUUGGGAACUGCAUUCGAGACUGCAUAGCUAGAGUAUGGGAGAGGGAAGUGGAAUUUCAGGUGUAGCGGUGAAAUGCGUAGAUAUCUGAAGGAACAUCAGUGGCGAAAGCGACUUCCUGGACCAAUACUGACGCUCAUGUGCGAAAGCGUGGGGAGCAAACAGG